Balaenoptera musculus (blue whale) is the source of this 492-nucleotide long non-coding RNA. RefSeq lists it as uncharacterized. The transcript has 3 exons. NCBI's taxonomy places the organism in Eukaryota, Metazoa, Chordata, Mammalia, Artiodactyla, Balaenopteridae. The record is from RefSeq and is a predicted model, not a curated record.
GGCGCGCUAGGACGCGACCCCACCGCCGGCUGGCCAGCCUGAGGGCACCCUCCCGGCGCCGGCUUCGCGGAGGCCGAGCGACAGCCGCCUCCUUAUUGGGAACGGAGAGGGCGGCAGCCGGGCCCGCUCCGCCGAGGCCCGAGGCCCAACGCUGCGACACGGCCCGAGCAGCGGCCAGGCAGCCGCGCGCCCCCCGCACCCGUCCGUGGGUCUGGCCCGGGUCUCCUCACCAGUUCCGCGCACGGGGAGGGGCCGGCAACGGGCCGGAGGGGGCAGCGGCGCCCGAGAACAGAGCGCGGCCCCGGGCCUCGUGUCACUCACCGUUUGAAAUGCUCGAUGAUCUUCUCUUCCCGCACAUUCUCCGGAUGUUAGAAGGCUAAGCAAGCCCCUGUCUUACACAGUUGCAACAAUUACAGAACAAGAUGUGCUAGCUCAGGGCUUCCCUGGUGGCGCAGUGGUUGAGAAUCUGCCUGCCAAUGCAGGGGACACGGG